RNAcentral lists this ribosomal RNA (507 nucleotides) under Paenibacillaceae bacterium CL3.76. RNAcentral describes it as "bacterial SSU rRNA". It matches the Rfam family "Bacterial small subunit ribosomal RNA", at positions 17 to 503 of the family's 1533-position model. Lineage: Bacteria; Bacillati; Bacillota; Bacilli; Caryophanales; Paenibacillaceae. The record is from RNAcentral.
CCCUGGCUCAGGACGAACGCUGGCGGCGUGCCUAAUACAUGCAAGUCGAGCGGAGUUGAUGAGGUGCUUGCACCUCUGAUACUUAGCGGCGGACGGGUGAGUAACACGUGGGUAACCUGCCUAUAAGACUGGGAUAACAUUCGGAAACGAAUGCUAAUACCGGAUACGCGAUUUGGUCGCAUGAUCGAAUCGGGAAAGAUGGAGCAAUCUAUCACUUAUAGAUGGACCCGCGGCGCAUUAGCUAGUUGGUGAGGUAACGGCUCACCAAGGCGACGAUGCGUAGCCGACCUGAGAGGGUGAUCGGCCACACUGGGACUGAGACACGGCCCAGACUCCUACGGGAGGCAGCAGUAGGGAAUCUUCCGCAAUGGACGAAAGUCUGACGGAGCAACGCCGCGUGAGUGAUGAAGGUUUUCGGAUCGUAAAGCUCUGUUGCCAGGGAAGAAUGCUUGGGAGAGUAACUGCUCCCAAGGUGACGGUACCUGAGAAGAAAGCCCCGGCUAACUA